UACGUAGGGUGCAAGCGUUGUCCGGAAUUAUUGGGCGUAAAGAGCGUGUAGGCGGCCCGGUUAGUCCGCUGUGAAAGUCCAGGGCUCAACCCUGGAAUGCCGGUGGAUACUGUCGGGCUAGAGUCCGGAAGGGGCGAUUGGAAUUCCUGGUGUAGCGGUGAAAUGCGCAGAUAUCAGGAGGAACACCAAUGGCGAAGGCAGCUCGCUGGGACGUGACUGACGCUGAGACGCGAAAGCGUGGGGAGCAAACAGG
Molecule: ribosomal RNA, 253 nt
Filed under: uncultured bacterium
Lineage: Bacteria
Description: partial 16S ribosomal RNA
Rfam family: Bacterial small subunit ribosomal RNA
Source: RNAcentral